GGCCAAGUUUUUAAGGGCGCACGGUGGAUGCCUUGGCACCAGGAACCGAUGAAGGACGUGGGAGGCCGCGAUAGGCCCCGGGGAGCUGUCAACCGAGCUUUGAUCCGGGGGUGUCCGAAUGGGGAAACCCGGCAGUCGUCAUGGGCUGUCACCCGCUGCUGAACACAUAGGCAGUGUGGAGGGAACGCGGGGAAGUGAAACAUCUCAGUACCCGCAGGAAGAGAAAACAACCGUGAUUCCGGGAGUAGUGGCGAGCGAAACUGGAUGAGGCCAAACCAGUCACGUGUGAUACCCGGCAGGGGUUGCGUGGUUGGGGUUGUGGGAGUUCUCUUUCACAGUCUGCCGGCUGUGAGACGAGUCAGAAACCGUUGAUGUAGGCGAAGGACAUGCGAAAGGUCCGGCGUAGAGGGUAAGACCCCCGUAGCUGAAACAUUAGCGGCUCGUUUGAGAACCACCCAAGUAGCACGGGGCCCGAGAAAUCCCGUGUGAAUCUGGCGGGACCACCCGUUAAGCCUAAAUAUUCCCUGGUGACCGAUAGCGGAUAGUACCGUGAGGGAAUGGUGAAAAGUACCGCGGGAGCGGAGUGAAAUAGUACCUGAAACCGUGUGCCUACAAGCCGUGGGAGCGUCGCUGAUGGGUUCGCCCAUCAGUCGUGACUGCGUGCCUUUUGAAGAAUGAGCCUGCGAGUUUGCGGUAUGUUGCGAGGUUAACCCGUGUGGGGAAGCCGUAGCGAAAGCGAGUCCGAAGAGGGCGUUGAGUAGCGUGCCCAAGACCCGAAGCGGAGUGAUCUAGCCAUGGGCAGGUUGAAGCGGAGGUAAGACUUCGUGGAGGACCGAACCCACCAGGGUUGAAAACCUGGGGGAUGACCUGUGGUUAGGGGUGAAAGGCCAAUCAAACUCCGUGAUAGCUGGUUCUCCCCGAAAUGCAUUUAGGUGCAGCGUCGUGUGUUUCUUGCCGGAGGUAGAGCACUGGAUAGGCGAUGGGCCCUACCGGGUUACUGACCUUAGCCAAACUCCGAAUGCCGGUAAGUGAGAGCGCGGCAGUGAGACUGUGGGGGAUAAGCUCCAUGGUCGAGAGGGAAACAGCCCAGAGCAUCGACUAAGGCCCCUAAGCGUGUGCUAAGUGGGAAAGGAUGUGGAGUCGCAGAGACAACCAGGAGGUUGGCUUAGAAGCAGCCAUCCUUGAAAGAGUGCGUAAUAGCUCACUGGUCAAGUGAUUCCGCGCCGACAAUGUAGCGGGGCUCAAGCACACCGCCGAAGUCGUGUCAAUGCAGCAAUACUCCUAACGGAGGCUGUGUUGGGUAGGGGAGCGUCGUGUGCCGGGUGAAGCAGCCGUGGAAACGAGUUGUGGACGGUUCACGAGUGAGAAUGCAGGCAUGAGUAGCGAUACACACGUGGGAAACGUGUGCGCCGAUUGACUAAGGGUUCCUGGGUCAAGCUGAUCUGCCCAGGGUAAGUCGGGACCUAAGGCGAGGCCGACAGGCGUAGUCGAUGGACAACCGGUUGAUAUUCCGGUACCCGCUUUGAAGCGCCCAAUAUCGAAUCCAUUAAUGCUAAGGCCGUGAAGCCGCCCUGGAGUCUUCGGACAAAGGGGAGUGGUGGAGCCGCUGACCCAAGGUGGUAGUAGGUAAGUGAUGGGGUGACGCAGGAAGGUAGUCCAGCCCGGGCGGUGGUUGUCCCGGGGUAAGGGUGUAGGGCGCUGUCUAGGUAAAUCCGGGCAGCAUGAAGCCUGAGACCUGAUGCCGAGCCGAUUGUGGUGAAGUGGAUGAUCCUAUGCUGUCGAGAAAAGCCUCUAGCGAGUUUCAUGGCGGCCCGUACCCUAAACCGACUCAGGUGGUCAGGUAGAGAAUACCGAGGCGUUCGGGUGAACUAUGGUUAAGGAACUCGGCAAAAUGCCCCCGUAACUUCGGGAGAAGGGGGGCCAUUGCUGGUGAU
RNAcentral lists this ribosomal RNA (1934 nucleotides) under Streptomyces mooreae. RNAcentral's name for it is "Streptomyces sp. DSM 41527 partial 23S ribosomal RNA". It matches the Rfam family "Bacterial large subunit ribosomal RNA", at positions 1 to 1764 of the family's 2925-position model. Lineage: Bacteria; Bacillati; Actinomycetota; Actinomycetes; Kitasatosporales; Streptomycetaceae. The record is from RNAcentral.